GACGAACGCUGGCGGCGUGCUUAACACAUGCAAGUCGAGCGGUAAGGCCCUUUCGGGGGUACACGAGCGGCGAACGGGUGAGUAACACGUGGGUGACCUGCCCUCAGCUCUGGGAUAAGCCUGGGAAACCGGGUCUAAUACCGGAUAUGACUCCAUGACGCAUGUUGUGGGGUGGAAAGCCUUGUGCGGCUGGGGGAUGGGCCCGCGGCCUAUCAGCUUGUUGGUGGGGUGANGGCCUACCAAGGCGACGACGGGUAGCCGGCCUGAGAGGGCGACCGGCCACACUGGGACUGAGACACGGCCCAGACUCCUACGGGAGGCAGCAGUGGGGAAUCUUGCGCAAUGGGCGAAAGCCUGACGCAGCGACGCCGCGUGAGGGAUGACGGCCU
Molecule: ribosomal RNA, 389 nt
Filed under: uncultured bacterium
Lineage: Bacteria
Description: bacterial SSU rRNA
Rfam family: Bacterial small subunit ribosomal RNA
Source: RNAcentral